CUUGUAGCCCUUCAAACAGUUUUCAGAAGCCUGAGAAACUUGAUCUCCAGGUUGCGAGAUAUGUUCUUCCCUUCUCUUCUUGAAACAAAUUGCUUCUCUAGACUGAGCUGAGCUGUCACUGAAGAAUUUGGGGCUUGGAAAUAUUUGCCUUUUUAGUUUGCAAAAGAUGAGGCUAAUGUUGCCCAGGCUAGUGCCACCACCUGUGCAGGUUUUCCCACUGCAGUGAGAGGAAGAGGCACCAGGAAACUGCUCCACUUUCUCCCACACGUGGCUGGAGGUGGGUGACGACUUGGCAGAUCUUUGGCUCGGGAUCAGAGGCAGCAGCCUGGGAGAGGAGGACUCCUGUGCCGGGAGGAUGUAGCAUCUCCUCCUCUUCUCUUUGUGCAAGGGAGGCCUCGGACACCAGUCUAAGAAGAAGCUAAAGGACAUGCAAUAUUCUUGCAAAAUCAUCCCAUGAAGAGUAAAGGAACUAAAGAAGCCAGAAAUUAGGUAUACAAAAUUAUUCUUUGUUCUUAUUAUUUUUAUCUAGUACUUCAAAUAAUCCCCUGGAGAAAAAUAAGAUUCUAG
RNAcentral lists this long non-coding RNA (567 nucleotides) under Struthio camelus australis. Its description in RNAcentral is "lncRNA (ENSSCUG00000012658.1)". The record is from RNAcentral. Lineage: Eukaryota; Metazoa; Chordata; Aves; Struthioniformes; Struthionidae.